UACGUAGGCAGCGAGCGUUGUUCGGAGUUACUGGGCGUAAAGGGUGCGUAGGCGGUUGUUUACGUUUGGUGUGAAAUCUCCCGGCUCAACUGGGAGGGUGCGCCGAAUACUGAAUGACUAGAGUGCGGGAGAGGAGAGUGGAAUUCCUGGUGUAGCGGUGAAAUGCAUAGAUAUCAGGAGGAACACCGGUGGUGUAGACGGCUCUCUGGACCGUAACUGACGCUGAGGCACGAAAGCGUGGGUAGCAAACAGG
Molecule: ribosomal RNA, 253 nt
Filed under: uncultured bacterium
Lineage: Bacteria
Description: partial 16S ribosomal RNA
Rfam family: Bacterial small subunit ribosomal RNA
Source: RNAcentral